RNAcentral lists this long non-coding RNA (375 nucleotides) under Amborella trichopoda. RNAcentral describes it as "long non-coding RNA (ATRI_LNC002740)". Lineage: Eukaryota; Viridiplantae; Streptophyta; Magnoliopsida; Amborellales; Amborellaceae. The record is from RNAcentral.
UUAAAUUAUUUCACAGUAUACAAUCUCAAAAAAAAAAAGGUAAUACAAGGCUAUCAGUUCAACAAAGUUGCCAAAGUCUAAUAAAAAAACAUUACCCAGAUGGUCCCUUAUCACUCUACCCAACCAUGCCGGUUCCAGAUUUCUUACCAAGCUUCCAUCAAAAUUAAUCUUCAUGCAUCCCAUUAGUGGCGGACUCCAAAGUCCUCCCUUUCUAUUCUUAUUUACACGACAAUCCAUAUUAGCAAGUAUAUCCACUCUAGAGAUACCAAAGCAAUUCCGCUUCCUCUCCAUAUUUCCCAUGGAAUGGUUACCCUAAAAGCUUUUCAUAAAAUACCCCAACUUCGGUAAACCCGGCAUGUCAAGUUGGUCCACGAU